RNAcentral lists this small nucleolar RNA (106 nucleotides) under Verruconis gallopava. RNAcentral's name for it is "Ochroconis gallopava A. fumigatus snoRNA Afu_514". It matches the Rfam family "A. fumigatus snoRNA Afu_514". The record is from Rfam by way of RNAcentral. Lineage: Eukaryota; Fungi; Ascomycota; Dothideomycetes; Venturiales; Sympoventuriaceae.
CACGUGGAUGACAUAAUUUGCGAUUGAGUCUUGUGACCGGAAACUCUCGCCGGAGUUUCUCAACGGCACGAGAGAAAUGAUAUUCAAUUUCUUACAUAUUCUGAGC